Molecule: ribosomal RNA, 485 nt
Filed under: uncultured bacterium
Lineage: Bacteria
Description: bacterial SSU rRNA
Rfam family: Bacterial small subunit ribosomal RNA
Source: RNAcentral
GAUGAACGCUAGCGGCAAGCCUAACACAUGCAAGUCGAACGGGAACUUUUGGUGCUUGCACCGAAAGACGAGUGGCGAACGGGUGCGUAACGCGUAUGCAAUCUACCUUUUACUAGGGUAUAGCCCGAAGAAAUUUGGAUUAAUCCCCUAUAAUAUCAUGAAUUCGCAUGAUUUUAUGAUUAAAGCUUUGGCGGUAAAAGAUGAGCAUGCGUCCUAUUAGUUAGUAGGUGAGGUAACGGCUCACCUAGACUACGAUAGGUAGGGGUCCUGAGAGGGAGAUCCCCCACACUGGUACUGAGACACGGACCAGACUCCUACGGGAGGCAGCAGUGAGGAAUAUUGGACAAUGGACGAAAGUCUGAUCCAGCUAUGCCGCGUGCAGGAUGACGGCCCUAUGGGUUGUAAACUGCUUUUAUACAGGAAGAAAAAAUCCGACGUGUCGGAUAUUGACGGUACUGUAAGAAUAAGGAUCGGCUAACUCCGUG